AGAUUGAACGCUGGCGGCAGGCCUAACACAUGCAAGUCGAGCGGUAGAGAGGUGCUUGCAUCUCUUGAGAGCGGCGGACGGGUGAGUAAUGCCUAGGAAUCUGCCUAGUGGUGGGGGAUAACGUUCGGAAACGGACGCUAAUACCGCAUACGUCCUACGGGAGAAAGCGGGGGACCUUCGGGCCUCGCGCCAUUAGAUGAGCCUAGGUCGGAUUAGCUAGUUGGUGAGGUAAUGGCUCACCAAGGCGACGAUCCGUAACUGGUCUGAGAGGAUGAUCAGUCACACUGGAACUGAGACACGGUCCAGACUCCGUACGGGAGCAGCAGGUGGGAAUAGUUGACAAGUGGGACGAAAGCCUGAUCCAGCCAUGCCGCGUGUGUAGAAGUAGUCGUUCGGAUUGAAAGUCUAAGUUUAAGUGGG
This 420-nucleotide ribosomal RNA is filed under the name uncultured soil bacterium. RNAcentral describes it as "bacterial SSU rRNA". It matches the Rfam family "Bacterial small subunit ribosomal RNA", at positions 26 to 445 of the family's 1533-position model. The record is from RNAcentral.